This is a long non-coding RNA of Arabidopsis lyrata subsp. lyrata, 747 nucleotides long. RefSeq lists it as uncharacterized. Lineage: Eukaryota; Viridiplantae; Streptophyta; Magnoliopsida; Brassicales; Brassicaceae. The record is from RefSeq and is a predicted model, not a curated record. The transcript is spliced from 2 exons.
AAGUUGCUUCUUCUCGAAGGUUCCGACAGCUUCCUUUGCCUUGGAGAAUUCACUUCGAUUCGAGUCUCUGUUGGUGCAUAAAAAAUUGGGAUUUUGGAUCUGUUUUUCGAACCAUCCUUUGACUUGAUUUGUUGGGAAGCUGCAGAAUUAGUUUGGGCACAGUGGUUUUGAAGGUUCUGUGACGGUUUUCAGUGUACCGGAGAAGAUGUUCCGGUGACUCCAUUUUGUUGGCGUCAUUACUCAGGCCACUUUGAUGACUCACCUUUUCUUUGGCUGAUUGUGCAACACGUGGAUUCAUCCUUAUCUCUUUGUUAUCGCUUUUGAUAUUUUAUUUUAGUUUGGCUUUUUAAUCAGGGUUAAGCUUCUAGUGUAGAUUGUUUUAGUUUUAUGCUUUUAUCUGUUUAGUUGUUUUAUAAUCAGAAUAGAAGUUAUCACCCUGCUCGGAUGUUAAGAUGGUGAGCAAGAAGCAACCAUACUACAAGCAUAUGAUGGAAGCUAUAAGAUCAGCUCUAAACCUUUGAGUUUUGAUGUUUGGUCUUAUUGAGAUUAGUUAUGAGGUUGCUGUUAACAAGCUACCAUUUCACAACGUUCCCUUUAGUGGCAGAAUGGGUUGUACUUUACUUGUACUUGGUUGUUUGUAAAAUUUGUUGUUGUAUCUUGUACUUGCCUCUCCAACAUGGGUUCUCCAUUGAUGGAUGAUGCUGUUUGGAUGUUAUAUAUACAAAGACAUCCUUUGGAAAAAAAAAA